RNAcentral lists this long non-coding RNA (6101 nucleotides) under Arachis ipaensis. RNAcentral's name for it is "long non-coding RNA (AIPA_LNC002307)". The record is from RNAcentral. Lineage: Eukaryota; Viridiplantae; Streptophyta; Magnoliopsida; Fabales; Fabaceae.
GAGGUAAGGGAUAGUCUAUACAAGAUAUGUUACUUGCAGCUGUGUAUACUGCUUAUGACUGAUGGUUUAUCAUGUGUUUGUUUGUUGAAAAGUGUAUAGUGAAUUUUUGUUAUGAUAAAGAUGCAGAAAAGUGAGUUUGAGUUAUGAGUGGGCCUUUGCAACAAGGGGUAAAUUAAUGAAUAUAAACUCUUAGAGCUGUGUUGAUUAUGCUAGUAACUUUAGUUAGUCAAAAGAAAGGUAAAAUUAUGGUUUUAGAUGAAUCCUAGGCUUGAAUAUAGGAUUUGGUAUGUGAGGUUGUUGGAAAUGCUUUGUGCAGAAUUUCUGCAGAAAUAUGCAUAAUUGGCAGUAAAACGAAUGAUUUUCUGGGAGCAGUCCAGACCUAAUUUUUAGAUGAGAUUAUUUUUCUGUAAAACUUUAGUGUGUCUUGAACAUGCCAUAAAAAUUUCAGAGAAUUUGGCCAAGCGGUUUGAAAGAUAUGAUUUUUUGAAGUUUAGUGGUUGCUGCAGAUUUUUCUGGUUUUCUGGUUCUGCAGUACCAACUUUCAGAUGCUAUAACUUUUAAUUUAAACAGAAUUUUGAGUUGCUUCCAAAAGGAUUUUAAAGAUCUAUCAGUCUAUUUUAAGUGAGUACAAUUUUCAUGUUCAUAUCUAUUUUGUAGACUUAGAUAAGUCACUUGGAAAAUCAGUUAUUUGCUGGAAACUCUGAACUGGUUUAUGAAAACAGGGCUGUAUUUCUAAGCUUAUAACUUUUUCAUGUGACAUGGUAAUAAUCUAAAAUUUAGUUUUCUGGAAAGCUGAAAGAGUCUUGUCUAAGUACAUAAAUUUUGAAAGGAAAUGGAUGAGAACUGGAUUUUUAGUGAAUUUAACAAAUUUACUGCUCACUGCUGUUUUCUGCAAUGAUAGCAGAAUUUUAAAAAUAUUUGUAAUAUUUUCAGUUAUGGUCGGAAUGCCCCAGAACCAAGUUUUAUUUUCUAAACCCGUGAUUUUACAAUAACUAAAGGGAUUAAAGAGAGUAUAAUGACCAAUUAAGAAUGUUUACCUGGUAAAUAGUUAAGGAAAGUUUGAACGUUGUUAAAGCUGAGGGAACCCGUAAGGGUGGUUUUAGUGCUAUUUUAGAGGAGAUUAUGUCCGAAUUUCUAUAAAAGUUCAAGGACUUAGUUUAAUGAAAAUGUGUAAGUUGCCCCUAAGAAAGGUUAAAGUUAAAGACAAUGAUAUUAAGAUAAAGUGAAGAAAGAAAUGAGGAACAAGGAAUGAAAUAAAAGUUGAGAAUUAUAUUGAAUGGGCCUUGUGCCGUACUACUAAUGCGAAAGUGCCCGCCUAAUGGAUAGCCUGAGAUUGCUAAUGCGGGAAUGUUCGCUUAAUUGAUAGCACUGUUCCUUACUGUGAUACACAUUGAAAUGUUAUUAUAAUGAGGCCUAAUUGACACGGGUAACCGUGAUGCCAAGGUGUCUAAUUGACACAGUAAAGGGACCAUACUGGGGUUCACUCUGAGUAACGUCGGGUUGCGGGUAGAUAACCGACGCAUGAGCUCAUGGCCUGCGCUAGGAAUAGGUAUGCAUCAUCUUGUUUGCGCAUAUGAACUUCUUGUGAAUUAUUUACUGCCAUUUCUUUCUUGUUCAUGCUACUUACUUGUCAUAAAUAUGUUUGUGCCUUGAGUCUCUGUAUUUGUUCUUUUUCUGUUUCGCGACAACUUAGAGAUAAAGACCCUAGGUUCCCCUUUUUCCUUACUGAGAACUCUAGGUUCUCACCCUUCUUUUCUUUCUUUUCCCCCUCCCCAGACGGGUCCGGCAGAGGAGCCCUGUGAGUUUCGUUCUAACCGCUGAGCUAUGAGGAUCCGGCGCGCGGUGGAGUCUUCAUAUGGAGCAUGUUUUGGACCUCUUUCUUGCACAAUGUUCGGAGAUCACUCCAGAGUUAGUCGCAGUGGAUCUUUCGCUCCUGUUUGAUGAUCUUAGUAUCACUUUCCCCUCACUUUUGUAGUACUUUUAGAGGGGUAGAACAUCUUAGUAGUUCGGUUCCAGCUUAGGAAACCCGUGUGAGGGUUGGGACUGAUUUCUUCUUUUGUAUCUGUACAUAUAACUUGGUGUGAUACUCGGCUUUGAUGGAUGACACGUAUCCUUGAACUUAACUCGUGUAUAUUAUAUAUAUGUUUAUAUAUGUUAUUUUCUGUUGCCUUGUGUUUUCUUACACGACAACUCUGAAGAAACUAACCUUGUGAGCAACUAAACGCUAUUCCACAAGUAGUAAUCUGUUCACGAUUAAACCGAUAAAGGCUUUUAUUGAUAUUAAUUUAUAAAAAUCUGAGUCUAGAGCUAAGUAGGCCGCACGACGAGUAACACCUAGACAUUUGGCAUUGGUCAUGACGUGUCGAAAGUUGGGGUGUUACAGUUGGUAUCAGAGCAGUUCGUCCUUUGAGCCUUGGGAUGGACUGUCUAUACUUUCUUGCAUACUCUGAAUCUUUUUAUACCAUGCAGUUAGGAUAUUUUGGUAAUAUAUUCUGCAUGAAGGUCUGUGAACAUCCAUUGUAGUAAUAUUAAUACUUGAUUUUGAUAUAUUAAGACUGAUCACCUUAAUAUUGAUUAUUGGGUAUUGAUAGGACUCAAAUGGCUGCGAAUAGGCGAGGACGCCCUCGACUGGGAGGAACGAGUGAGGGAAAUUUCCCUGAUGCAGCGGCUAUUCUCGAAUCUGUAAACGCUAUGGCCGCUGCUGUAUGUGAAUCAGUAGCUGCUACUAACCGAGUAGCUGAACGUCUUGAUCGUCAGAAUGGAAUUGAAAAUAACCAUGGGCCUAGACAAGAAAAUGAAAAUGGUGAAGAAGGUGAAGCUGGACUACGUAACCGGCCCAUGACUCUAGCCACUUUCUUGAAGAUAAAUCCGCCUCAAUUCCAUGGGAACACUAGUGCUACACGAGCUGAUGACUGGUUUAAAGAAAUAGGACGAGCAAUGCGAGCCCAACAAGUCCCUGAAAGACAGCGAGUGGAAUUUGCUGCUUAUAUGUUGAGGAAUGACGCGCAACAUUGGUGGCAGGGAAUACUCCAACUACUAGGAAGAGAAGCUAUUGACAUCUCCUGGGAGGAAUUUUCAGUUGAAUUUUAUAAGAAGUAUUUUCCUGAGUGUUCUCGCACCGCUAAGGAAUUGGAGUUGCUUCAAUUAAAACAAGGAAACAUGACAGUCAGUGAGUACACUCGCAAGUUUGAAGAGUUAUGCCGGUUCUCGAACAUUUGUCAAGGAGCACCAGCUGCAUUCGAGAAAUGGAAGUGCAUCAAGUUCGAAGGAGGACUUAGAGAAGAACAGUUAGCUCAUGUGGGCCCGAUGGAAAUACAGAAUUUUGCAGAAUUAGUUAACAAGAGCCAACUGACGGAGGAAUGUGUAAAGAAGCUGGUGGCAGCACAAACUAAGCACAAAAACCUUCCAACAAGGGAUUUCAAUCGUAACCUCGCUCCUCAAGGAAGAAACUUCAAAGUAACUCGGCAGCCAGACUUAGGCAAACAAUUGCAAUCGACCCAACCAAGACUGAUAUGCACUGUGUGUGGAAGGAAUCAUGGGGGAAAACCCUGCUUGCUGAAGUCUGGGGUUUGCUAUAAUUGCGGAAAGCCCGGACAUAUAGCCAAAGAAUGCAUUCGACGAAAGCCUGAAUUUGGUUCCCUUGGACAGCAACAGCUAGGAAGGGUGUUUGUCUUGGAUGCGAGAAAUACUACCAAAAUCGAUCCCCACACUCGAGGUAACGAAAUUUUGAGGACAAAAUUUUUUUUAGGAGGGUAGAAUGUAACCACCCUACCCCAUAAGGCCUGUGAUUUUUUUUUAUUAUUCUUUACAGCGUUCGCUGACACGCAUAGGUUUAUAUAUAAGUAGCAUAGAUAACGAAUUAGAAUUAGAACACGUAGCGCAAAACUUUUCUUUUAGUGCUUCCAAGCGACGAACCUUUUUCCGAUUCAAUUAUUCUAUGGAAUAAGUAUUCCCUUGAACCAUAUUAGUUAGAUAAUUCAAAUUUUUGAACCGGUUUGAUUUUUCUUCUCUCGGUUCAACCAAACCAUGCUUUUCUUAAAUAACCCAGAUCUAGAAAAACUCUGAUUAAACUCAUCUUCCCUUCUUCUCUCACAACCGAACGUGUUGUCCAAGACCAUGGUUACCUCUUCAUUGUAAUCAAUACUGUGAUGUGGUGUUGCAAGAGGAAGAGGCCACGAAGCCUUGUCACACCAGCUCACCUCUUCCCACCUUCUGUAGAUAUAUAUAGAUGAGCCAAGUCCCUCAAUUUUCCUGGAAACCACACGAAGAGAAGAAAGGAAGCAAGAGUGGCGGCCAAGAAGAAGGAAGAGGAAGACCCAGCAGAAAUCAUCAUCAUCUGCGUGCGUCACCACCAAGAAGAAGGAGAAGGGUCAUCAAGAGAGCUGCUACCCGAAGCCAAAGAAGGAACCCUACCGCUUUCCUUUCCUGGUUUUCUUAGUGUUCCUCUUGUUGGGUAAGAACCAGUAACUUGUGUUCUGUUGAUUUUUCCUAAAUUAAAGAUUCUACCCUUAUUGAGCUCCAAUUCUUUUAAUUGGUAACCAAACCAAUCAAUUCAGCCCAUCACAAGAGUAAGAACUCUUCUCUUGCUCCAUAUGCAACUCGGCCAAUUAGCUCUAUGAAUUGACAAAUCUCUUUAAUUAUGUUUGUUAUGGUUUUCUGAUUUAAUAUAGCAAAGGACAGACUUUGGUUUGUGAAAUUCUCGAAGAGAGGUAAGGGAUAGUCUAUACAAGAUAUGUUACUUGCAGCUGUGUAUACUGCUUAUGACUGAUGGUUUAUCAUGUGUUUGUUUGUUGAAAAGUGUAUAGUGAAUUUUUGUUAUGAUAAAGAUGUAGAAAAGUGAGUUUGAGUUAUGAGUGGGCCUUUGCAACAAGGGGUAAAUUAAUGAAUAUAAACUCUUAGAGCUGUGUUGAUUAUGCUAGUAACUUUAGUUAGUCAAAAGAAAGGUAAAAUUAAGGUUUUAGAUGAAUCCUAGGCUUGAAUAUAGGAUUUGGUAUGUGAGGUUGUUGGAAAUGCUUUGUGCAGAAUUUCUGCAGAAAUAUGCAUAAUUGGCAGUAAAACGAAUGAUUUUCUGGGAGCAUUCCAGACCUAAUUUUUAGAUGAGAUUAUUUUUCUGUAAAACUUUAGUGUGUCUUGAACAUGCCAUAAAAAUUUCAGAGAAUUUGGCCAAGCGGUUUGGAAGAUAUGAUUUUUUGAAGUUUAGUGGUUGCUGCAGAUUUUUCUGGUUUUCUGGUUCUGCAGUACCAACUUUCAGAUGCUAUAACUUUUAAUUUAAACAGAAUUUUGAGUUGAUUCCAAAAUAAUUUUAAAGAUCUAUCAGUCUAUUUUAAGUGAGUACAAGUUUUAUGUUCAUAUCUAUUUUGUAGACUUAGAUAAGUCACUUGGAAAAUCAGUUAUUUGCUGGAAACUCUGAACUGGUUUAUGAAAACAGGGCUGUGUUCCUAAGCUCAUAACUUUUUCAUGUGACAUGGUAAUAAUCUGAAAUUUAUUUUUCUGGAAAGCUGAAAGAGUCUUGUCUAAGUACAUAAAUUUUGAAAGGCAAUGGAUGAGAACUGGAUUUUUAGUGAAUUUAACAAAUUUACUGCUCACUGCUGUUUUCUGCAAUGAUAGCAGAAUUUUAAAAACAUUUGUACAAUUUUCAGUUAUGGUCGGAAUGCCCCAGAACCAAGUUUUAUUUUCUAAACCCGUGAUUUUACAAUAACUAAAGGGAUUAAAGAGAGUAUAAUGACCAAUUAAGAAUGUUUACCUGGUAAAUAGUUAAGGAAAGUUUGAACGUUGUUAAAGCUGAGGGAACCCGUAAGGGUGGUUUUAGUGCUAUUUUAGAGGAGAUUAUGUCCGAAUUUCUAUAAAAGUUCAAGGACUUAGUUUAAUGUAGACAUGCAUCAUCUUGUUUGCGCAUAUGAACUUCUUGUGAAUUAUUUACUGCCAUUUCUUUCUUGUUCAUGCUACUUACUUGUCAUAAAUGUGUUUGUGCCUUGAGUCUCUGUAUUUGUUCUUUUUCUGUUUCGCGACAACUUAGAGAUAAAGACCCUAGGUUCCCAUUUUUCCUUACUGAGAACUCUAGGUUCUCACCCUUCUUUUCUUUCUUUUCCCCCUCCCCAGAC